GAUGAACGCUAGCUACAGGCUUAACACAUGCAAGUCGAGGGGAAACGAUAGAGAAAGCUUGCUUUUUCUAGGCGUCGACCGGCGCACGGGUGAGUAACGCGUAUCCAACCUGCCCAUCACUUGGGGAUAACCUUGCGAAAGUAAGACUAAUACCCAAUGAUAUCUCUAGAAGACAUCUGAAGGAGAUUAAAGAAUUAUCGGUGAUGGAUGGGGAUGCGUCUGAUUAGCUUGUUGGCGGGGUAACGGCCCACCGAGGCGACGAUCAGUAGGGGUUCUGAGAGGAAGGCCCCCCACAUUGGAACUGAGACACGGUCCAGACUCCUACGGGAGGCAGCAGUGAGGAAUAUUGGUCAAUGGACGAGAGUCUGAACCAGCCAAGUAGCGUGCAGGAUGACGGCCCUAUGGGUUGUAAACUGCUUUUAUAAGGGAAUAAAGUGAGUCUCGUGAGACUUUUUGCAUGUACCUUAUGAAUAAGGACCGGCUAAUUCCGUGCCAGCCGCCGCAGUAA
Molecule: ribosomal RNA, 508 nt
Filed under: uncultured bacterium
Lineage: Bacteria
Description: partial 16S ribosomal RNA
Rfam family: Bacterial small subunit ribosomal RNA
Source: RNAcentral